GACGGAGGAUGCAAGCGUUAUCCGGAAUGAUUGGGCGUAAAGCGUCCGCAGGUGGCAGUUCAAGUCUGCUGUCAAAGACCGGGGCUUAACUUCGGAAAGGCAGUGGAAACUGAACAGCUAGAGUAUGGUAGGGGCAGAGGGAAUUCCUGGUGGUAGCGGUGAAAUGCGUAGAGAUCAAGGAGGAACACCGGUGGCGAAGGGCGGGGUCUCCUGGGCCGAUACUGACGUGGAGGAGCGAAAGCGUGGGGAGCGAACAGG
This 258-nucleotide ribosomal RNA is filed under the name uncultured bacterium. Its description in RNAcentral is "partial 16S ribosomal RNA". It matches the Rfam family "Bacterial small subunit ribosomal RNA", at positions 524 to 776 of the family's 1533-position model. The record is from RNAcentral.